AAAUGCGAUAAGUAAUGUGAAUUGCAGAAUUCAGUGAAUCAUCGAAUCUUUGAACGCACCUUGCGCUCCUUGGUAUUCCUUGGAGCAUGCCUGUUUGAGUAUCAUGAAAUCUUCAAAGUAAAUCUUUUGUUAACUCAAUUGGUUUCUACUUUGGUAUUGGAGGUCUUUGCAGCUUCACACCUGCUCCUCUUUGUUCAUUAGCUGGAUCUCAGUGUUAUGCUUGGUUCCACUCGGCGUGAUAAGUUAUCUAUCGCUGAGGAGACUGUAAAAGGUGGCCAAGGUAAAUGCAGAUGAACCGCUUCUAAUAGUCCAUUGACUUGGACAAUACUUUUAUGAUCUGAUCUCAAAUCAGGUAGGACUACCCGCUGAACUUAAGC
This 377-nucleotide unclassified non-coding RNA is filed under the name plant metagenome. Its description in RNAcentral is "partial contains 5.8S ribosomal RNA, internal transcribed spacer 2, and large subunit ribosomal RNA". The stretch from base 1 to 104 matches the Rfam family "5.8S ribosomal RNA", at positions 51 to 154 of the family's 154-position model. The record is from RNAcentral.